Long non-coding RNA from Misgurnus anguillicaudatus (oriental weatherfish), 368 nucleotides. RefSeq lists it as uncharacterized. The record is from RefSeq and is a predicted model, not a curated record. Lineage: Eukaryota; Metazoa; Chordata; Actinopteri; Cypriniformes; Cobitidae.
GGGGGAGACGUUUCAUCUAAUUUGGCAUCUUCGUCAUACUACCUAUUAAACUACUCUGAUUUCCGGUGUCCGUGCACACAUCCGUCUGUGUUUACACUGUCCCCGGCCUUGCAAAGAGAGACUGUUAAAAAAACUCUUGGAAAGGAAUGAAAUUGACUGAUUAUCCCUGUUGCUCUCAUAAUUAUGCGGCGAGGUUGACGCAAGAGCCAUCAGCUUGUCAUAAACUGUUCCUUCUCUUCCUGAAUAUAAUCGUUUAUAUUCAUCUCUUUGUCCCACCCAGGCACCCACCUCCCUUCAACCAAUUUACAGCAUUUAAUGUUGAGGAAUAUUACUGCAAUAAAAGGCUCUUGUUCAAAAGGCCUAAUUCA